UGCUCUGAUCAAGACUUCCAAUACUAUGUUGAAUAGGAGUGGUGGGAAGGGGCAUCCUUGUUUUGUGCCAGUUUUUAAGGGAAAUUCUUCCAGCUUUUACCCAUUUAGUAUGAUGUUGGCUGUGGGUUUGUCAUAUAAGGCCCUUAUUAAUUUGAGGUAUGUUUGCUCAAUAUGUAAAUUAUUGAGAGUUUGCUACACAAAAUGAUGUUGAAUUCUAUCAAAAGCCUUUUAUGGAUCUAUUGAAGCAAUCAUGAAGUUUUUAUCUUUAGUUCUGUUAUGGGAUGGAGUCACAUUUAUUGAUUUGCAUAUAUUGAACCAACCUUACAUCCCAGAAAUAAAGCCUACUUGAUUAUGAUGGAUUCCAUUUUUUGAUGUGCGGCUAGAUUCAGUUUGGGUUUUCAAGUAUUUUGUUAAGGAUUUUAAAAGGCUAGAAGGCACCCUAGGCAAUACCAUUCUGGACAUAGGAACUGGAAAAUAAUUCAUGACAAAUUCUUUGGCAAAGAUGCCAAAAGAAAUUGCAACAAAAGCAGAAAUUGACAAAAUGUGAUCUAAUUAAACUUAAGAGCUUCUGCACAGCAAAAGGAAAUAUCAACAGAGUAAACAGACAAUGUACAGAACGGGAGAAAAUAUUUGCAAAAUAUGUGACAAAGGUCUAAUAUCCAGCACCUAUAAGACACAAAUUUACAAGAAAAAAAACAAACAACCUUAUUAAAAACUGAGUGAUAUGGUUUGAAUUUGUGUCCCUACCCCAAUCUCAUGUCAAAUUUUAAUCCCAAGUUUUGGAGGAGGGUCCUGGUGGGAGGUGAUUGAAUCAUGGUGGCAGAUUUCUUCCUUGCUGUUCUCAUGAUAGUGAAUGAGUUCUCACAAGAUCUGAUUGUUUAAAAGUGUUGUGCCACCUCCACCCUCUCUUCCUGCUUCAGCCAUGUAAGAUGUGCCUCCUUCCUCUUUGCUUUCUGCCAUGAUUGUAAGUUUCCCAGUGCCUCCCCAGCCAUGUUUCCUGUACAGCCUACAGAACCAUGAGCCAAAUAAAGCUUUUUUCUUUAUAAAUUACCCAGUCUCACGUAGUUCUUUAUAGUAAUGUGAUAAUGAAUACAGAACAUUGGUACUGGGAGUGGGGUAUUUCUAUAAAGACACCUGAAAAUGUGGACGCAGGUUUGGGACUGGGUAAUGGGCAGAGGUUGGAACAGUUUGGAGGACUCAGAGGAAGACAGGAAGAUCAAGGAAAGUUUUGAAAUUCCUAGCAUUUGUUUAAUUGUUGUGACCAAAAUGCUGAUAGUGAUAUGGACAAUAAAGUCCAGGGUGAGGUAGUCUCAGAUGGAGGUGAGGAACUUAUUGGGAACUGGAGUAAAGGUCAUUCUUGCUAUGCUUUAGCAAAGAGACUGGUGGCAUUAUGUCCCUGCUCUAGAGAUCUGUGGAAUUUUGAACUACAGAGUGAUGAUUUAGGAUAUCUGGCAAAAGAAAUUUCCAAGCAGCAAAGCACUCAAGAUGUGGUCUGGCUCCUUCUAACAGCAAAUAUUCUUAUAUUUGUGAGCAAAGAGAUAAUCUGAAACUGAAACUUAUAUUUAAAAGAAAAGCAGAACAUACAAGUUUGGAAAAUUUGCAGCCUAGCCAUGUGGUAGAAAAGAAAAACCCACAUUCAGGGGAAGAAUUCAAGCCAGCUGCAGAAAUUUGCAUAAGUAAAGAGGAGCCAAAUGUUAAUAGCCAAGACAAUGAAAAAAAAUGCCUUGACAUCAUUUCAAAGACCUUCUCAGUAGCUACUCCCAUCACAGGCCCGGAGGCUUAGGAGGGAAGAAUGGUUUCAUGGACUGGGCCCAGGGCCCCGCUGCCCUAAACAACCUCAAGACAUUGCUUCCUGUGAUCCAGCUGCUCCAGCUCUAGCCAUAGCUAAAAAGACUUCAGAUAUGUCUCAGGCCACUUCUCUCAAGGGUGUAAGCCAUAAGCUUUGGCAGCUUCCACAUGGGGUUAAGCCUGUAGGUGCACAGAGAGCAAGAGCUGAAGCUUGGGAUCCUCCACCUAGAUUUCAGAGGAUGUAUGGAAAUGCCUGAAUGUCCAGGCAGAAGUCUGGUGCAGGGGCAGAGCCCUCAUAAAGAACCUUUACCAGGGUAGUGCACAGGGGAAAUGUGGGGUUGGAGCCACCAUGCCGAGUCCCCACUGGGGCACUGCCUACUAGAACUGUGAGAAAAGGGCCACUGUCCUCCAAACCCAAGAAUAGUAGAUCCAACAGCUUGCACCAUGUACCUGGAAAAGCCUCAGGCACUCAGUGCCAGCCUGUAAAAGCAGGCACAGGGGCUGUUCCCUGCAGAGCCACAGGGGUGGAGUUGCCCAAAAACUUGGGAGCCCACCCCUUGUAUCAAUGUGGACUAGAUGUGAGACAUGGAAUCAAAAAAGAUUAUUUGGGAGCUUUAAGAAUUGACUGCCAUGCUGGGUUUUGGACUUGCAUGGAGCCUGUAGCCAAUUGUUAUGGCAGAUUCCCCCUUUUGGAAAGGGAGUAUUUACUCAAUGUCUAUACCAACAUAAUAUCUUGGAAGUAAUUAACUUGUUUUUGAUUUUACAGGCUCACAGGCAGAAAGGACUUGCUUUGUUUCAGAUGAGACUCUGGACUGUGGACUUUUGAGUUAAUGCUGAAAUGAUUUAAAACUCGGGGGACUGUUGAGAAGAGGUUCAUUUGUGGAAUAGCCCCUUCUCUGUCGCACUGAUAUGGCAUGCCAAUUUUGUCAUAUAAUGAAGUUCCACACAAGCAUGGUUCUGUUUCUCAGCAUUCUGACUGUUUCUGCACCUAUGUCACACUGAAUAACCAAAGCUCAAGAGUUAAGUCAUCUGGUUUAACAGUUCUGGAGGCUGGGAAGUGCAAGACCAAGAUAUGAACAGAUUCAUUAUCUGGUUCAAAGCCAGGAGCAGUGGCAAAGCACCUGUUGUCCCAGCUACUUGAGAGGCUGGAGCUGGAAGAUCACUUAAGGCCAAGAGUUCAAGACCAGCCUGGAUGACAUAGAGAGAUUCCCAUCUUUUUAAAAAAAGUUAGGUUCAGUCAGAUUUCAGAAACUGAGAGUAGACACUCUAGGAUUUGAUUGCAUUGACUUGCUUAAUGUUCAUUUUUGGCUUGGAUCAUGAAUAUAGUCUUUGAAUAAAGGGUUACUUUCCCCAA
Molecule: long non-coding RNA, 3142 nt
Organism: Pan troglodytes (chimpanzee)
Lineage: Eukaryota; Metazoa; Chordata; Mammalia; Primates; Hominidae
Exons: 4
Source: RefSeq, a predicted model, not a curated record